UGCAAGUCGAACGAAGUAGCAAUACUUAGUGGCAGACGGGUGAGUAACAUGUGGGUAUCUACCCUUUGGCCUGGAAUAACACGAGGAAACUUGUGCUAAUACCGGAUAAGUCUUUACGGAGAAAGCUUUACGCACCAUUGGAGGAGCCCGCACUUGAUUAGUUUGUUGGUAGGGUAAUGGCCUACCAAGACUAUGAUCAAUAGCUGAUUUGAGAGGAUGAUCAGCCACAUUGGGACUGAGACACGGCCCAAACUCCUACGGGAGGCAGCAGUGGGGAAUCUUGCACAAUGGAGGAAACUCUGAUGCAGCGAUGCCGCGUGAGUGAAGAAGGCCUUUGGGUUGUAAAGCUCUUUCGUCGGGGAAGAAAAUGACUGUACCCGAAUAAGAAGGUCCGGCUAACUUCGUGCCAGCAGCCGCGGUAAUACGAAGGGACCUAGCGUAGUUCGGAAUUACUGGGCUUAAAGAGUUCGUAGGUGGUUGAAAAAGUUGGUGGUGAAAUCCCAGAGCUUAACUCUGGAACUGCCAUCAAAACUUUUCAGCUAGAGUAUGAUAGAGGAAAGCAGAAUUUCUAGUGUAGAGGUGAAAUUCGUAAAUAUUAGAAAGAAUACCAAUUGCGAAGGCAGCUUUCUGGAUCAUUACUGACACUGAGGAACGAAAGCAUGGGUAGCGAAGAGGAUUAGAUACCCUCGUAGUCCAUGCCGUAAACGAUGUGUGUUAGACGUUGGAAAUUUAUUUUCAGUGUCGCAGGGAAACCGAUAAACACACCGCCUGGGGAGUACGACCGCAAGGUUAAAACUCAAAUGAAUUGACGGGGACCCGCACAAGUAGUGGAGCAUGUGGUUUAAUUCGAAGAUACGCGCAGAACCUUUACCAACACUUGACAUGUUCGUCGCGACUCUAAGAGAUUAGAGUUUUCGGUUCGGCCGGACGAAACACAGGUGCUGCAUGGCUGUCGUCAGCUCGUGUCGUGAGAUGUUGGGUUAAGUCCCGCAACGGAGCGCAACCUUCACUUUAAGUUGCCAUCAUUAAGUUGGCACUCUGAAAGAACUGCAGUGAUAAGCUGAAGAGGGGAGAUGACGUCAAGUCUCAUGGCCUUAACGUUGUGGCUACACACGUGCCUACAAUGCAC
Molecule: ribosomal RNA, 1129 nt
Filed under: uncultured Alphaproteobacteria bacterium
Lineage: Bacteria; Pseudomonadati; Pseudomonadota; Alphaproteobacteria
Description: bacterial SSU rRNA
Rfam family: Bacterial small subunit ribosomal RNA
Source: RNAcentral